GAUGAACGCUGGCGGCGUGCCUAAUACAUGCAAGUCGAGCGAACGGACGAGAAGCUUGCUUCUCUGAUGUUAGCGGCGGACGGGUGAGUAACACGUGGAUAACCUACCUAUAAGACUGGGAUGACUUCGGGAAACCGGAGCUAAUACCGGAUAAUAUUUUGAACCGCAUGGUUCAAAAGUGAAAGACGGUCUUGCUGUCACUUAUAGAUGGAUCCGCGCUGCAUUAGCUAGUUGGUAAGGUAACGGCUUACCAAGGCAACGAUGCAUAGCCGACCUGAGAGGGUGAUCGGCCACACUGGAACUGAGACACGGUCCAGACUCCUACGGGAGGCAGCAGUAGGGAAUCUUCCGCAAUGGGCGAAAGCCUGACGGAAGCACGCCGCGUGAGUGAUGAAGGUCUUCGGAUCGUAAAACUCUGUUAUUAGGAAGAACAUAUGUGUAAGUAACUGUGCACAUCUUGACNGUACCCUAUCAGAAAGCCACGGCUAACUACGUGCCAGCAGCCCGCGGUAUACGUAGGUGGGCAGCGUUUAUCGGAAUUUAUUNGGCGUUAAGCGCGCGUAGGCGGUUUUUUAGUCUGAUGUGAAAGCCCACGGCUCAUUUGUGGAGGGUCAUUGGAAACUGGAAAACUUGAGUGCAGAAGAGGAAAGUGGAAUUCCAUGUGUAGCGGUGAAAUGCGCAGAGAUAUGGAGGAACACCAGUGGCGAAGGCGACUUUCUGGUCUGUAACUGACGCUGAUGUGCGAAAGCGUGGGGAUCAAACAGGAUUAGAUACCCUGGUAGUCCACGCCGUAAACGAUGAGUGCUAAGUGUUAGGGGGUUUCCGCCCCUUAGUGCUGCAGCUAACGCAUUAAGCACUCCGCCUGGGGAGUACGACCGCAAGGUUGAAACUCAAAGGAAUUGACGGGGACCCGCACAAGCGGUGGAGCAUGUGGUUUAAUUCGAAGCAACGCGAAGAACCUUACCAAAUCUUGACAUCCUUUGACAACUCUAGAGAUAGAGCUUUCCCCUUCGGGGGACAAAGUGACAGGUGGUGCAUGGUUGUCGUCAGCUCGUGUCGUGAGAUGUUGGGUUAAGUCCCGCAACGAGCGCAACCCUUAAGCUUAGUUGCCAUCAUUAAGUUGGGCACUCUAAGUUGACUGCCGGUGACAAACCGGAGGAAGGUGGGGAUGACGUCAAAUCAUCAUGCCCCUUAUGAUUUGGGCUACACACGUGCUACAAUGGACAAUACAAAGGGCAGCGAAACCGUGAGGUCAAGCAAAUCCCAUAAAGUUGUUCUCAGUUCGGAUUGUAGUCUGCAACUCGACUACAUGAAGCUGGAAUCGCUAGUAAUCGUAGAUCAGCAUGCUACGGUGAAUACGUUCCCGGGUCU
RNAcentral lists this ribosomal RNA (1371 nucleotides) under uncultured bacterium. RNAcentral's name for it is "bacterial SSU rRNA". It matches the Rfam family "Bacterial small subunit ribosomal RNA", at positions 28 to 1381 of the family's 1533-position model. The record is from RNAcentral.